AUGCACGCUGGCGGCGUGCCUCAUACCUGCAAGUCGAGCGAACAGACGAGGAGCUUGCUCCUCUGACGUUAGCGGCGGACGGGUGAGUAACACGUGGAUAACCUACCUAUAAGACUGGGAUAACUUCGGGAAACCGGAGCUAAUACCGGAUAAUAUAUUGAACCGCAUGGUUCAAUAGUGAAAGACGGUUUUGCUGUCACUUAUAGAUGGAUCCGCGCCGCAUUAGCUAGUUGGUAAGGUAACGGCUUACCAAGGCAAUGAUGCGUAGCCGACCUGAGAGGGUGAUCGGCCACACUGGAACUGAGACACGGUCCAGACUCCUACGGGAGGCAGCAGUAGGGAAUCUUCCGCAAUGGGCGAAAGCCUGACGGAGCAACGCCGCGUGAGUGAUGAAGGUCUUCGGAUCGUAAAACUCUGUUAUUAGGGAAGAACAAAUGUGUAAGUAACUAUGCACGUCUUGACGGUACCUAAUCAGAAAGCCACGGCUAACUACGUG
This 496-nucleotide ribosomal RNA is filed under the name uncultured bacterium. Its description in RNAcentral is "partial 16S ribosomal RNA". It matches the Rfam family "Bacterial small subunit ribosomal RNA", at positions 29 to 507 of the family's 1533-position model. The record is from RNAcentral.